GAUGAACGCUGGCGGCAGGCCUAACACAUGCAAGUCGAACGGAUCCUUCGGGAUUAGUGGCGGACGGGUGAGUAACGCGUGGGAACAUACCCAAAGGUACGGAAUAGCCUCGGGAAACUGGGAGUAAUACCGUAUGUGCUCGAAAGAGGAAAGAUUUAUCGCCUUUGGAUUGGCCCGCGUUGGAUUAGGUAGUUGGUGGGGUAAUGGCCUACCAAGCCGACGAUCCAUAGCUGGUUUGAGAGGAUGAUCAGCCACACUGGGACUGAGACACGGCCCAGACUCUUACGGGAGGCAGCAGUGGGGAAUCUUAGACAAUGGGGGAAACCCUGAUCUAGCCAUGCCGCGUGAUCGAUGAGGGCCUUAGGGUUGUAAAGAUCUUUCAGGUGGGAAGAUAAUGACUGUACCACCAGAAGAAGCCCCGGCUAACUCCGUGCCAGCAGCCGCCGUAA
RNAcentral lists this ribosomal RNA (449 nucleotides) under uncultured bacterium. RNAcentral describes it as "partial 16S ribosomal RNA". It matches the Rfam family "Bacterial small subunit ribosomal RNA", at positions 28 to 523 of the family's 1533-position model. The record is from RNAcentral.